GACGAACGCUGGCGUCGUGCUUAACACAUGCAAGUCGAACGGAAAGGCCCUGCUUUUGUGGGGUGCUCGAGUGGCGAACGGGUGAGUAACACGUGAGUAACCUGCCCUUGACUUUGGGAUAACUUCAGGAAACUGGGGCUAAUACCGGAUAGGAGCUCCUGCUGCAUGGUGGGGGCUGGAAAGUUUCGGCGGUUGGGGAUGGACUCGCGGCUUAUCAGCUUGUUGGUGGGGUAGUGGCUUACCAAGGCUUUGACGGGUAGCCGGCCUGAGAGGGUGACCGGCCACAUUGGGACUGAGAUACGGCCCAGACUCCUACGGGAGGCAGCAGUGGGGAAUAUUGCACAAUGGGCGGAAGCCUGAUGCAGCAACGCCGCGUGCGGGAUGACGGCCUUCGGGUUGUAAACCGCUUUCGCCUGUGACGAAGCGUGAGUGACGGUAAUGGGUAAAGAAGCACCGGCUAACUACGUG
This 468-nucleotide ribosomal RNA is filed under the name uncultured bacterium. Its description in RNAcentral is "partial 16S ribosomal RNA". It matches the Rfam family "Bacterial small subunit ribosomal RNA", at positions 28 to 507 of the family's 1533-position model. The record is from RNAcentral.